GGGGACCCCGGCCCGCCGCCCGCCGGCCCGCGCCCACCAGGCCCGAGCGGGCAGGCCGGCUGGCGAGCAGGGGGCGGGCGGGAGACGGAACAAAAGCGCCUUUGUUGAGCGGCAGCCGCCGGAGGGUCACACACAAUGGAGGAGGGAGCCGGCUCCGCCGCCGCCGGGCCCGCCGCGGCGCCCUCCCGAGCCGCCCCGCCGGCGCCCCGCACACGUACACACACACACUCACGGGACUCCUCCGGCUCAUCGAGGGAGUGCGGGGCCCGCGGACAGCCCCCAGGGUCGGCUCAGGUCUCCGGCUGUGCUGACGGCAGCGGCGUCUCCGAGGCUCUCGCUUUGCCGCAGUCGCCGCCAUGUAACCCCGACCCGAGAGAGAGGGCGAGGGAGAUGGGGCGGGGCCUCCGGGGCCACGCCCCCGCACGUCACAGGCUCACUCCACGGGUUCCCCCGCCCCCGCCCGGCCCCGCGCGCCAGCACGCGCCGGAAUUUCCAAAGCCUGUGACUGGGCUCCGCGGGCCGCGGGGGCGGCGGAGGGCGCGCGGGCGCUGGGGCCGCCUCCGGCGGCUGGACCCGCGACCGCUCUGCUAUGCUCCCUGUCCCCGCGCUGGAGCACAGCGACCCAACUCCUUGCGAGCGUUUCCUGCGCACCUACUACGUGCAAGGCGCUGGCAGUCCAGGAGGAAUAGGCCUUCGUCCCUGUCCCCGGAAAUGGGCCUGGAACGAGAAGGCUGGAGCUGAAGAUGGAUUGGCUAGAAGGCAACAGCCGACGUACAGGGCAAACGCGUUAGAGGCCAGGUGCUAAGGAGGUUGUUAAAUCUGCCCGCGGGUAUGAAGGAAGGCUUCUAAGGGAGGUCGCCACGGGUGACCUUUCAGCUGUAUCAGAAGGAGCUGAUAUAACCGGAGGAGUACCAGGCGUGAAGAGGAGACGGAGAGCAGAUAAAACUAAGACAGAGGAGAGGCAUGUUCCAACUGCAAGGCUUCUAAUUUGUGGAUGCAGACAAAAGCAACAAGAUCUCCUUACCUGUGACCACUAUCCAUGCCUACUGCCCUGCUCUAGGCUCCCCUCAGAUUCCUAAGACACCUUUCCUCCCCCAUCCAUCAAUGUUUGAUCACCGGGUGGGGGGGGGGGAAUAAAUCACAAGCACAGGUCCAGCAGAGACCACCAAAAUAACCUGUUGAUCAAUCAAAGCCAAGUUUAUUGCUUACAGCAGUAAGAGAGACCACUAUGUUGACAGUCUCAGUAGUGUCUCAAAGAGGAAGGUCAAGGGUAGGAUAGUUAUAAGAUUCAGGGGAUCUGGUUUAAGACAGGUCUCUCAGUAAAAGAGCAUGGUUGAGACUGGGCUAAAUUUGUGAUAUAGUAGUUUAGGAUGAGUGGACACAGGGAGGGGAGAGUUUUGAAGCAAGCCUAAAAGAGUAAGCAGUUGUUCAAUAAACCCAAAAGAGUAAUCUUGUUGAGGGGGGGGCUGUUUACCCUGACGAAGGCUGGGUCAGUCAGUAGUCUGUUGUUCAGAUAAGUGGACUUUGAAGAAGUUCUUGAAGCUGCACUUAAGUUAUUUGCAACUUCUCUGGCAAGAAUUUCUUGGAAUUAAAGUCAUGUUUAUGCAGCCAGUGGAGUUGUACAGUCAUGUUAUUGUAGUCAGUCUUAGUUCUUAAUCCUAUUGUGUGGCCGAAAAUAGGUCUCAGUAGUUUUUCAAACUGCAGGUUAUGAUCCAUUAGUGAGUAGUGAGAUCAUAUUGAUGGAUUAUGACCUGCAUUUUUUCUUAAUGAAAUAGAACAAAAAACUAGAGAACAUCGUCCAUAACAAAGAGUAAACACUGUUUUGUGAAACUUUUGUUUUGAUUACGGGCCACAUUUCAACAAAUCUAAAAUGUCAGUUAUGACUUGCCGUUAUUUUGUGUACUAUUAAGAAAGCGAAAACUAUCAAAAUAUGAUACCCUAUCGCUGCAUCCUGAUUUCAGAUUAAAAUGGAGGAAGUGCUUUUUCAAACUGAUGAAAUGUAAGAUAUGUAUAAAUGUGCCAAUUGGAUCACAAUGUAAAAGUAUUUCUAUUUAUUGCUCAUUGCUAUGAGCUAUGCUAUUGGUAGAAGAGUUGGAAAGCCACUGUUGUAGUGGAGGAAUGCAGGAGAGGAACAGGUAAGUACACCAUAAGGCAGCAUGAGAUGAGUGCUUCCUGAGCAGAGAUGCAAAUUACCUGCUCUUGUUAGACUAUGAUGGAAGAAACAAUUGAGGUCUGGGGACAUCGGGUAAAGGUUCAAAUGAAAGAGAGAGUGUCUGAGCUGGGCUUGAUUCCAUCAGAAGUACACAGCCAUUUCUGGAUGAGAGAGUAGAAUAUACAAAGGCAUGAAUGUGUCAGGCACACUUUGGAAAACGGGAGAAGUUUGACAGGCCUGGGGGAAUGAAGACAAGUUAGCACCAGAUUGAGAAGGCCUUGAUUGGAUGCCAAAACUUUUGGGUUUGUGCCAAAGGCAGAGGAAUUUAGAUUAUACAACUAGUAUUUUAGAACGGUAGUUCAGGCAUGGAUAGGAAGGAGAGGUUAGAUGAGCAAGAAGUUGGAGACAGAGGGUAGGAGAAUCCAUUGUUUUGUCUGCCCUGCAUCCAAUCUACCUUAUUCUGGUAACAAUAUUCUGAGGUCCUUUAAGGAGCCACCCUUUCCUGUGUAAGUCAGAAUUCUUUCUGUCCCAGUGACGGAAAACCCAACCCAAACUCUGGGUUAAGCAUAAGAGAAAGAGAGAUUGAGAGAGAGAGUGUGUCUCUGGUAGGCACAGAAAGGGGAUGACAGCAUGAGCAGUAUUUGUGGAGCAGAAUCAGCUAGACUUGGUGAAUGCUUAGACAAGCGAGGGGUAAGUCUUCAGUCACCCAGUUGCUCCCUCAUUGCCUAUUUGAGUUUAAAUUCUCUCAUUAGGCUACUGGUUUUUUUACAAUUCGGUUACUAUCUUCUUAUGAAGAUAAACUGCCAAUAUUGUGACUUUCAAGAUGGAGGGGAAAACAGAUUUUAGAAAUAUAGACCACUAAGCUUGAUGCCACUCCCUGGAAAUUUUCUAAUAUAAAUCACUGAAAACCGUGUGUUAGGGAAAAUCUAACAGUUAAUAGGAAUCAUUAUGGAUUCUUUUCAAGUAAGUCAUUACAAAGAAAUAUCACUUCCUUUCUUGAUAGAAUUAUUACAUUGCUGAACAAAGAUGUUGGUCAUUUCAAAAGUCAAGACACUUUUGUGGAUAAGAUGGAGAGAUGUGAGUUUAGGUUAUUGCAAAGAAAGGUUGGUUAAUGGAGUGACAUCUUGAGGUCUAGAAUUCUUAAGAAAAGCAGUACAGAUUUUUCCCCUUUUGUCCAGUCCUGAGUAAUAUUUUUAUCAAUGUUUUGAGUUGAUACUUACCAAAUUUAAAGAAGAUGCAGAACUCGCAGAGAUCAGAAUAUGAUAGAUGACAAUAAUUAUUCAAAAUCAUGUUUGUUUAAAAAGAGAUGACUUUUGGCUGCAAUAAAUAUAAAAUAUAGUGUCAUUGUUCAGAAAAAUCAUUUUCAUGACAAGGAUUUGGGCGACUUGGCUUGACCUGAUAAUGUAAUGGUAAGUUACAGAUAUUCAUGCAGUGUGAGCAGCCACCAAAAAACUAGGAAAAUGUAAACUGUGUUAAUGAAGUCAGGCCACCAGGGAGGUGAUAACAACCAAGGUGCUGAAUGUGCUGAAGUCACAGGGGUACCAGACCUGUGCUAUUCAGCUCAAGAUUUCUGAACUUAUGUGUUCAAAUAUAGAUACCACAUAAAAAGAGCUACCACACAUAACAGAAUUUGUUCGGAAGAGAACCAGGAAGAGUGUGGAAACCAUGCUCUCUGAAGAAAAGAUGAGGGAAUCGGGUCUGCUUAACCUGCAUAAAAGAGAUUUGCCAAAGGUUGUUAUGGAGAGGAGAGAGCAGACUUAUCCCAUGUUGCUCUGGAGUUCAGAUCUAAGGCCAUUGGAAGGGCUGUUAUCGAGAGGCGGGUUUUGGCUCAUCAUAAGAAAGGACAGUUUUGGAUAUUGGAACUGAGCCAUAGUGGACAGGACUUCCUGGUGAAGUGAGCUCUACAUCACUGGAGGCAUUCAAUCAGAAAACAAUGGGCACCUGUCAGGGAUACUAUCAAAGGAAUUGCUGGGGGGAAAAGAGGCCACCAGGGAGGUGAUAACAACCCAGGUCUUCUCUAACUUGAAGCUUCUAUGUGUCUGUGUUUAUCCUCUUAAUUUAAAAUGAUUGCUCUCCCAGACAUGGUUCUAAAAGAACACAUUGUAAUUUGAUUUGUAAACAAUACAACUUUCCACUGAAGAAACUCAUUCCCAAGUACAGCUGAUUCUCAUUGCUUGUGGUAAUGUUCUAAAAAGUAACUAUGAACUCCAAAGUAGUGGAGGCCGAACCAUCACUCCUAGGGAAAUACAGGAUUUGGUUCCUGCAAGUCAGAGCAUUUUUGCCAACGAGUCAAUACUUAACCUCGUUUUAUGUGUGCUUCUGUUUCUAUUUAAAGACCUUAUUUAAUAUAUAUUGUUGAUUCAUUAACCAUCAAACUAUGGCCAACAGCAUUAUAAUUCAUGCUGAAUGAAUCUUAUCUAACGUACAUAUUUUUUCCGAAAGAUAUAUCACAGCUUUCUUGUGCUCAGGGACGGUAGCCCGCACAUCAGUUCUAUGCUUGGGGGGCCUUUUAAACAGUGAAAUCACCAACAAAAAAGCAAAAAAACAUGGCACUAAAUAGACCAGGAAAAGGUCACUUGUUCAUAGUACGAGAGUUGAAACAAGAAGGCAAAGUAUUGCCUUGUUCCUUGUCAAUGGGAACACGCACAUAGGGCAACUCAAAUUUUCACCACUCUGCACAUGUUGACAAAUGACUGUGCAAGUGCCAUGAGUAUUGAUUUAGGGGUUACAGAUACAUUUUAGCAAGUAGGCAAAUUCGCAAACAGAAUCUGCAAAUAAUGAGAAUUGAGUAUAGUUAAAGAUUAUAAAGAGGAUGUUUUCAGUCAAAAACCAUCGAAGCUGUAUGAAAAUUCGAUGAGAUGCAGAUCACUUGAACGCUUUUUGAAGUGGGAGAUGCCUGUAAAUGAGAAUCAAGGAUCCCGCAUUUAACUUGGUGGGGCAACAAAGAGCUUGCCCGUUGGGAGUAUGGUAAUAGCAUCAUUUGUCAAGUUCCUACCAAGUAGGGCUGUUUUAGGUAAACACUUUAUAAACAUUGUAUCCUUCUCUUAGGCUAUGAUACAUGGGAUUUUGUGGAAAAGCUGCAACAAGCUACUUAAAUGUUUUAGACAACAUUUGGCUUUCUUUGUAAUGAAAUUGCUUUCUGGAACAAAAAUCUGUACAGUUUUUGAAUAAUGGGUGUGUAACUAAACACUUAAAUGUACUGAGAAAUACCUAUGGGGAUAACUUUAUAAACCCAAUAAUUAAAUAAUCAAAGUACCCUCUCUCUAAUUUAUCUGCCUUGAAAGUCAGUAUUUUCUGGAAGCAGGAUAAAUUAGUAGAAAUGGUAGAAUUAAACUAUUAAUACAAAGUUGUAGCUUCCCUCCCCCCCACACACUUGUUCAGAGGAGCACAGAGAUAGUGACGCUCUCUGGCUUUAGGGAAAUUCCAAGGGUUUUCUCAUUUGCAUUCUGUCCUUCUCUCUCGAGGGCCCCGUUAGCCUGAGGAGAACAGAUGCUCCUAAUUUCUGGAGAUAGUUCCUAUUUUUUUAAAUCUCACGAGAGCACAGUCUUCUAUAACCAUCCUCAGUUUUUGAGAACAACCUGGGUCUCUUGCCACAUGACCACAGUAAAUAAAAGGAAAGAAUGGACAUGUUGUCCCUCGUCCCAUCUACAGGGAGUGAUAAAUAUUUUGAAUUGUGGGGGCAAAGUAGCUUUCACUAUACAAGGUCAUUCCCCUCCCCUCUGCUCUCCAAUAGUCAAGCUCACUAUCCUUUGAGAAAGAAGGUAACCACUGUUGUUACUCUAAGUAAACUUGUGCUGAAGAUUUGUUUACAUUGGUUUCUGAGUGAUCAGGUUAUCAACUAGUAUAUAAUAUGAUUUAGUAGGUCUGCCUCCCACAAUCCCAACUCUUGCCUUCUGUUUGACAAAUAUUUUGCCAGCUGGUAGUUACCACCAUUGGAACACCCUUCCCUGAAGAUGUCACCAUCCCCAGAGGCUGGUAUCCACCUCUGGAGCCUUGACUGCAGCUAUCACUGUCUCUAGCAAUGACCUAGUUUUGGUGCCCUGCAGGGAAAAUGGCCAGGCCCUCAGGAGGCCUAAGAUCCAUCUACCCACCUUGGGAAGCUCUGUCCUUGUGACUGCCCACCCCACUGCCACAGACCUCUAGCCCCUCUCACCCACCCCCAUACCCAGGGCAUUACACAGGACCCCAGAUUCAGAAACACCCCAUGCUUGGUUUAAUACUCUACUGUUGCCAUCUUGAAGUUCCUGAUAAUUUUAUCUUUGAACUCAUGUUUAGUGGUGCUGUUGGACAGUGGAGCAUGCGUAUGAGCAGGAGAUAGGCACAAUAGUCACGUCCACUGUUCCUUACCACCCCAUUUACAUACAGGGUUCUCAGUGCCCAAUGAGCACAGAAUUCUGGUGGACCCACAAUGUGCUGCAGUUCAGUGAAAUAAAGCAAAUAAGUACAAGGUAUGUUAUGUCUACAACUGAGUAAUUGGAGGUGCUGACAGCUCUGAGAGGUCUUGCUUUCCAUUGGAACCAGAUUUUGCUUCGAAUGCAAAAAGAGGGCAAUGGCAUUCUAAGAAACACAAAAGACCAAGGAACUCUGUCAGAUCCUUUCUUUCUUGUAUUACUUCCCUGUAUUAGCCAACCGCCUAUGCUGAAAACAUUUUCUUUCUUUCUUUUUUUAAGAUUUUAUUUUUCCUUUUUCUCCCCAAAGUCCCCUGGUACAUAGUUGUUUAUUUCUAGUUGUGGGUCCUUCUAGUUGUGGCAUGUGGGAUGCUGCCUCACCGUGUCCUGACGAGCGGUGCCAUGUCUGUGCCCAGGAUUACGAACCAGCGAAACCCUGGGCCUCCGAAGCAGAGGGCAUGAACUUAACCACUCAGCCACAGGGCCGGCCCCAAACAUUUUCUUUUCCUUUCCAUCUUUUUACUCCUCAGCAAGUCAAGGGUAGAAAGUGUUGGUAGAAUGUGUAUCAAGAAAUGAAAUAAUAAUGGCUAAGUUAAUUUUCUGCUGUGUUUCCACUGCUCUGGUAAGAAAAUAUAUAUGCAUGUCUGAGCUACAAACUAGAAAUUGUCAUUUUGGUCAUUUCACAUAGGAGUUUAAUGCUCUUAUAUUUGUGUUCCAAAUUGGCAUUGCACCAUAUAAAAAUUACUUAUAAACUUCAUGCUAACGACUUAAAUUUUUUAUUUUUCCUUACUUAGAACUAUUGGUUAUAAUAGUUAUCUAAAUUAAAAACACCAUGACAAGGGGCCGGCCUUGUGGCUGAGUGGUUAAGUUCAUGUGCUCUGCUUUGGCGGCCCAGGCUUUCGCCAGUUUGAAUCCUGAGCAUGGACAUGGCACUGCUCGUCAGGUCAUGUUGAGGCGGUGUCCCACAUGCGGCAACUAGAAGGACCCACAACUGAAAAUACACAACUAUGUACCAGUGGGCUUUGAGGAGAAAAAGGAAAAAGAAAAUCUUUAAAAAGAAAAAAAAAGAAUUAGUGUUUAAUAAUAAUAAUAAUAAACACCAUGAGAAGUCAAGAGAGAGACGCCAGAAGAAAGGAAAAAAGCUUUAUAUUUUAGUACCUUAGCAGCAUUUUUUCUACUUUUUGAACAAAGGGCCCCAGAAAUUAUGUAGCCAGCUUUGAACUUCCCCCAACGAAGUCCCAACAGCCCUACUCUGAAGAAAGUGGGUCAGGGAAAGACUCCCAACCUCCCCGCCUCCACUACCAGAGCUAGGACAGGAGAGGCGAAGAAUUCUCUUUCCUCAAGGAUAAAGCGUCCAAGGCUGAGCAGGGCCCAGCCGCCCACGUGCAGGAACUGCAUUUCCCGUAGUAAACACACUGGCUUCCACACUCAUGGAGGUAGGAAGCGGGGGAGGAAGGAAGAUCUUGUUCCCCUGCUGGGGCACAUUUGCCCAUAGAAAGAAUGUGUGGGUCACGGUUCUCAUCCUCUCCUAGUCAGCUGCAUGUGGGCUAAAUGGGUUUCUGAGAGUUGGCCUGAGAACGUAACCAGUAUUUGUCACAUUGUUUCUCUGGGGAAAAUGCAUUUUCAGUUUCAAACAACCAAGUUAGAAAUCAAGUUUGGGGAACAUAACUCGGUCAUACAGGGACUUUCUGUACCUUUCCUGUACUUUCUGUACCUUCUCAGAAAUGCUGAGACCACAGAGAAGGAUGGUAUCUGUAAGUCCCAGAUAAACAACUAAACGUUAAUGAGAGGGGUGUUAAUACUAAUAACCUCCCUUUAUCCACUGGGUGGUAUGAAGAGUCCAGUCCUUCAGAUUUGCAACUUGAAGAACUUGAUUGCUGGUUCUCCAGGGAUGACUGGUCUCUGGCAACCAGCAUGCACCACCCAAACCCAAGAGUCUGCACCUUCAACCAGAUGCCAGUCCAUGAAGAACACCAGACAAGCUGUGCUGAGUUGGACUAAAGAUUCAUCCAGUCUGAUCCAUCUGCUGGGUGUUUUCUACUCUGGAGAGCUUAAGGACAUCUCAGCCCAGUGACUUUUCUUCUAUGAGCCUGCUUUCAGACAGUCCGUAAAAGUUUUAAAGAAGACAAGUCCCCCAGAGGUAAUCCUUGAGGGCUCCACUCUGAAACAGGAAGACUCCAUCUGGUAUCCUGGCACCAACAGUAGUCAGUAGACUGGGUACUGGCCCCAGUUCUGACACAGUAGUUGUUAGAUUCCAGGCAAGUCAUUUAAUUUCCAUUCCUAAAAUGGUAAAAAUACCACCUGCCUCACCUCCCUUGCAGGGUUAUUCCAAGAAUUACAUGAGAUGAUGUGUGUGAAAGCACUCUGAAAAGGCUAAGCGACUGUAUAAAUAAAGGGUGUUAUUAAUAUUUCCAUCCAAAGCUCACCUGUUUAAACCAUGGUUUCCUGAAGUUAAGCCAGCUCUCUUCUUUCAUUCAAUUCAUUCCUUUGAUGUUCUUUAAGUGCCUACUUUAUCCAAGAUAGAACUUUCUCGAUAAUUUAUUUGGGUAGAGCUUUUUUUUUCAAUGUUUAAUGUGUACAUUGGUAGGAACUUUUUAAAAAGUGUAGCGUUCACUGUAUCUGUGCUUAUUUAUCCCUCAAAGAAACGUAGUCAAAUAGUGAAGCAUGAGACAUGCUCAAGCAUGUGGCUGCAAAGGUAGAAGAGCAGAACGCAAUCUCUGCCUGCAUCUCCCCACAGAAAGCAGGAAUGCCUUCUACCCUUAGCCUAGGAGAGAUAGAAGGGAAAGCCCAGAGCAGGGCCCAGCUGAGAGGAUGGCGAGAAGGGGAUGAGGAGUAACUAUAUACAACCUCUCGGAGCCCAACAAGCAGUAUUAUAAUAAAUAGAUUUACUUACAUGAAAGCAGCUUAAGGCAAUCUCCUUUGAUUUAGCCUGUGGUCCAUUCAGCAAAGAAAAACUUCUUCUGUGUUUAAAAGCCUCUGAUGAAGGUUUAUAAGUACUAUCUCCGAAGGAAAAAUAGAAAGCAAAUGAUUCUUGGGGAAGAGGGAAAAAGACAAAUUUUUAAAAUGAUUUAGCUGUGCAGCAGGUUAUGAAGGAGGGAAAAGGAAGAGAUGAAAAUGGUUCUUUCCCUCCUCCUUCUGUGACUCAGAGAUUAAUCCUAAAAAUAAUCUUCAUCCCAGUAUGGGGAAGCUGAGCGGAGACUCGCAUCGCCACAUUCUGAGUUCCAUGAUGGCCUUGGAGAGGAAAAGAACAAAAGGAGGAGGGAGAUAGGACACAGUAACUAUUAAAGAUAAUCUAUAAAAGACUACCUACUCAGAAGAGGUGAGGUGAAAUUAAAGGCCAGUCUAACUGAUGAAAUAGGCAUUUCUGUUCUUGCCCUGUUCUGAAGUAUGUUGUGUCAGCAAGGAUGAAGCCUCAACUUGCCUUGUCACUAAUUCUUCUGGUGAUCCAUAUUUUACUCAUUCAAAUGAAUUUUUGUCUCUCAACAUCAUUCUUCUUUCCUUGUGUCAGCAACAAGAGGCUCUUUUUUAGGUGUCUCCUUAGUCACAUUUAAUUUAUGUAAGUAUGUUUAUUUUUUUUUUAAGUUUUCUAUUUUGAAAGUAUUUCAAACUUACAGAAAAGUUGCACACAUAGCACAACGAACUUUUUUUUCACCUGAG
This 10197-nucleotide long non-coding RNA is filed under the name Equus caballus (horse). Its description in RNAcentral is "lncRNA (ENSECAG00000052967.1)". Lineage: Eukaryota; Metazoa; Chordata; Mammalia; Perissodactyla; Equidae. The record is from RNAcentral.